GUUUAACAUAGGUCAUGAGGAGGAAAUGGUGAUCGAGCUUGCUAACGAGGUGAGGAAAGUCCUUGACCUCCUCGAGAAUGGAAUCUCAAGGGAGAACAAACUGCUUGGAGCAACGCCCCACAUAGUACUCAAGUCGCACAUACCAUCCUUAGAACUGCAACCACUUCCAGAAGCCAUAGCCACAGAUUCCUAACUUCGAAACUUCACAAACUAAGCAAACCAGAGGCUUCCAGUGAUGGUUAACAAUGGUUACUACCACGCUUAGAUCCACUAGUCUUUGACCUUACUACUAGGACUUAUCUUUGCAAAUU
RNAcentral lists this unclassified non-coding RNA (311 nucleotides) under Hevea brasiliensis (rubber tree). The record is from RNAcentral. Lineage: Eukaryota; Viridiplantae; Streptophyta; Magnoliopsida; Malpighiales; Euphorbiaceae.